Molecule: ribosomal RNA, 245 nt
Filed under: uncultured Lachnospiraceae bacterium
Lineage: Bacteria; Bacillati; Bacillota; Clostridia; Lachnospirales; Lachnospiraceae
Description: partial 16S ribosomal RNA
Rfam family: Bacterial small subunit ribosomal RNA
Source: RNAcentral
UACGUAGGGGGCAAGCGUUAUCCGGAUUUACUGGGUGUAAAGGGAGCGCAGACGGCGGUUCAAGUCUGAUGUGAAAUACGGGGGCUCAACUCCCGGGCUGCAUUGGAAACUGGACGGCUGGAGUGCCGGAGGGGUAAGCGGAAUUCCUGGUGUAGCGGUGAAAUGCGUAGAUAUCAGGAGGAACACCGGUGGCGAAGGCGGCUUACUGGACGGUAACUGACGUUGAGGCUCGAAAGCGUGGGGAG